This 828-nucleotide long non-coding RNA is filed under the name Homo sapiens (human). RNAcentral's name for it is "HSALNT0239679". The record is from RNAcentral. Lineage: Eukaryota; Metazoa; Chordata; Mammalia; Primates; Hominidae.
UUUGUGAGAUCUUGCACUACAAACUGCAGCCAAGGGGAUCCCGAAUGGGCAAGACUUGAUCCUCAUACUGGUGAAACCUCCUGAGUCCCCAGGGACCCUGUCAGACCAGGCUCCAGCCUCCCUGCGGUCUCUGAGAGAGAAUGUGGCUAGUUCUGCCCCACGGCUCCCUGGCAGUCCAGCGGUCAGAAGUGGCCACGCAGAACCCAACAUUCAGCCUGGGUGCAGACACUGCCUCUAGCCUCCUCCCCAAGCACUCUCCUAGUAUGGCAAAACAGCCCUUGAGAGAUUGCAGAAAGCCAUCAACCUUGAAGAUAACAGGAGCCCUCCCAAGGAAAUGUGUUCAGGAGACCUUCUAAGACCAUGCCAUUUCCUGGGUCCCUCUCCCAGUGGGGAAAUUCUCCCAGUAGCAGAUUCUGGCAGACAGCAGAGACACACUCUAUGCCCAACACUAGGCACCGGAUGGAUGAGAUAAUCAUAAAUCCACAAACUGCAACAAGAUAAAAUUAUCAUUAGAUGAAGUUAAAUUAUUAAUUAGCACCUCCAAAAAAAGACCGGCACCACCUGGGCUUGAAUCUUGGAAGCUGUCUUUCUGAAAGCAAGAGAAACAUCAAAAUAGUUUAUCGAUGCUCUGUGGUGUGGGUAUAGCCUAUGGUUCCCAGAAGCCUGAUGGUCAGAGGUCCCACCAGGCAGGCCUGCCCCGCCUGCCCUCUUCUUGCAGUGUUGCCAGAAAUAGCCAGUUUGGAUAAUGUUACUAGGGAAAGGGAAGCAACUAAUGUGACCCAUUUUUAUGACUGGAGAAACUGAGGCAAAGGACGAGGCAGAAAGGCC